Molecule: ribosomal RNA, 424 nt
Filed under: uncultured Nitrosospira sp.
Lineage: Bacteria; Pseudomonadati; Pseudomonadota; Betaproteobacteria; Nitrosomonadales; Nitrosomonadaceae
Description: bacterial SSU rRNA
Rfam family: Bacterial small subunit ribosomal RNA
Source: RNAcentral
AAAGACCUUAUGCUUUUGGAGCGGCCGAUGUCUGAUUAGCUAGUUGGUGGGGUAAGUGCUUACCAAGGCGACGAUCAGUAGUUGGUCUGAGAGGACGACCAGCCACACUGGGACUAAGACACGGCCCAGACUCCUACGGGAGGCAGCAGUGGGGAAUUUUGGACAAUGGGCGCAAGCUCGAUCCAGCAAUGCCGAGUGAGUGAAGAAGGCCUUCGGGUUGUAAAGCUCUUUCAGUCGAGAAGAAAAGGUUGUGACUAAUACUCGCAACUCAUGACGGUAUCGACAGAAGAAGCACCGGCUAACUACGUGCCAGCAGCAGCGGUAAUACGUAGGGUGCGAGCGUUAAUCGGAAUUACUGGGCGUAAAGGGUGCGCGGGCGGCUUUGUAAGUCAGAUGUGAAAUCCCCGGGCUUAACCUGGGAAUU